This 254-nucleotide ribosomal RNA is filed under the name uncultured bacterium. RNAcentral's name for it is "partial 16S ribosomal RNA". It matches the Rfam family "Bacterial small subunit ribosomal RNA", at positions 524 to 776 of the family's 1533-position model. The record is from RNAcentral.
UACGGAGGGGGCGAGCGUUGUUCGGAAUUAUUGGGCGUAAAGGGCGCGUAGGUGGCCUGGUUAGUCUAGCGUGAAAUCUUCACCGCUCAACGGGAAGACGGCGCUGGAUACUGCUGGGCUAGAGUGCGAGAGAGGUUGGUGGAAUUCCUGGUGUAGCGGUGGAAUGCGUAGAUAUCAGGAGGAACACCGGUGGCGAAGGCGGCCAACUGGCUCGUAACUGACGCUGAGGCGCGAAAGCGCGGGUAGCAAACAGG